Ornithodoros turicata is the source of this 342-nucleotide long non-coding RNA. RefSeq lists it as uncharacterized. The record is from RefSeq and is a predicted model, not a curated record. Lineage: Eukaryota; Metazoa; Arthropoda; Arachnida; Ixodida; Argasidae. The transcript is spliced from 4 exons.
GCCUCUUUCGCCCGUCCACUGCUCCACCCCAGCUAGAGAAGAACUUGAUACAACCUUGGGAUCUACAUGCCAGCCUGAUCCGAAGGACGUGACGGUCCACUCAUCUGAAUUAACAGAGGGAUCAGAGACUGAAGAUGACGAAUAUGAGAAGGAACAUGAGGGACAUCAUUCUAAAUCCCAUGUGCAUCGAACGCUAAAUCCAGAGGAACGUCUCUUCCUGGUGGUGGAGUCAAGUCUGCGAGAGCUCCUGUCACAGUGUCCUUGUGGCAGCAGCGAUGCUGAAACAGACAUCACAACAAGGGGCACAUGGCUGAGAGCAGCAACAGCUUGCAGCUGUGGGAA